AUAGCCAGCAUGGCCAAAGCGCU
RNAcentral lists this microRNA (23 nucleotides) under Drosophila melanogaster (fruit fly). Its description in RNAcentral is "dme-miR-9376-5p". The record is from miRBase by way of RNAcentral. Lineage: Eukaryota; Metazoa; Arthropoda; Insecta; Diptera; Drosophilidae.